GAAUCCCUCAAUUUUGUAACAGGUUUGGCAGAUUAUCCUGAAGACAUGCUGUCAUGCUGUGACCUACUCCUCACUUUUCUAUAGCGGUGAAGUCAUGACAGCCUGACAGUGAGUGUAAAAAGAAAAUGCUCGUAGCUUGGCCACACUCACAAGUCUUUCUUACUGAGGAAGGUUUUUCUCCAGGUGAAAAGAAGGGGCUGACAAUGAGGUUGUGGAAGUGUAAAGACCAGCACCAUCUCACAGUGCAGGGAUGAUCUCCCCAGCUUUGUCCUAACUCCUAAAUAAACUUUUUAAAAGAG
Long non-coding RNA from Galeopterus variegatus (Sunda flying lemur), 299 nucleotides. RefSeq lists it as uncharacterized. The record is from RefSeq and is a predicted model, not a curated record. Lineage: Eukaryota; Metazoa; Chordata; Mammalia; Dermoptera; Cynocephalidae. The transcript is spliced from 2 exons.